RNAcentral lists this long non-coding RNA (715 nucleotides) under Nilaparvata lugens (brown planthopper). Its description in RNAcentral is "uncharacterized LOC120353411, transcript variant X2". Lineage: Eukaryota; Metazoa; Arthropoda; Insecta; Hemiptera; Delphacidae. The record is from RNAcentral.
UUGUUUCUUCAAGGGAUCUGAGGAGACGCCAGAGGUGGAGGCAACAGCUGUAGGAGCAGAGGUGGCAGCUGAGCUGAGGCUUUUCUGCUGCUUCUUCUGCUGCUCCCAGUAGUUCAGCUUCCUCUCCGGAGGCGGGCUGUCUGGUAAUAAGAAUGUUGUGGAGGAUGAGGAAGCACUUGAUGAGUCCAUCUCCGCGUUACGAAUGACGAUUUUUUAGAAACAAUACUCAAGCGUAUAGCUCUAACGUGAAUGAUGAUUUUCCUCUGAGAAAAGUGAUUAUAUAGCAAGUCGUUUCUCUGUCUGUUGCAGGCUUGUACGAGUGAGAUAGAAACACAUAGGAGGCGUGUCACAAUUGGCGAACACUGCCAAUACUCCCCAGAGGUUUAGCUCGACGAUAACAUUUGAUUCAUUUUCUCACCUCACAACUCGGUCUCAUAAGCAGUUGUGCUCUCGUGAGGGAAACUUACCUGCAUCGAGAAAAUCAUAGCCGAGGAGCUAGCUGAGUUGAGACAAUACCUGAACCGAGUCGAGGAGCUGAGAGAAGCAUAUCCGAUUAUUUCAUUUCGUCAAAUCAACACAUAAAAAAUGGCGAGAAUACAAAGUUAUCGUUGUGAACUAACUGAACUAUUGGAGACGCAUCACCAAUUAUUGGACCAGUUAGCAGAAAAAGGAUGGACAAAUCUACAAUAUUUAACUUUUGUGAGAGAUUAUGAAA